Molecule: ribosomal RNA, 253 nt
Filed under: uncultured bacterium
Lineage: Bacteria
Description: partial 16S ribosomal RNA
Rfam family: Bacterial small subunit ribosomal RNA
Source: RNAcentral
UACGGAGGGGGCUAGCGUUGUUCGGAAUUACUGGGCGUAAAGCGCACGUAGGCGGCUUUGUAAGUUAGAGGUGAAAGCCCGGGGCUCAACUCCGGAAUUGCCUUUAAGACUGCAUCGCUAGAAUUGUGGAGAGGUAAGUGGAAUUCCGAGUGUAGAGGUGAAAUUCGUAGAUAUUGGGAAGAACACCGGUGGCGAAGGCGGCGACCUGGUCCUUGACUGACGCUGAGGCGCGAAAGCGUGGGGAGCAAACAGG